Pezoporus flaviventris is the source of this 347-nucleotide long non-coding RNA. RefSeq lists it as uncharacterized. The transcript is spliced from 2 exons. NCBI's taxonomy places the organism in Eukaryota, Metazoa, Chordata, Aves, Psittaciformes, Psittacidae. The record is from RefSeq and is a predicted model, not a curated record.
CCACCUCGAUGCAAGGCUCUCCGUUGUCAAAGAAGGGCUGGAAAUCCGGGAUGGAGGAAAACCUCUCCAGCAUCAGCCGUAAGAGUUACUGCUCUGAUUCCGCCUCUGUUCCUGAUGACAGCUUCACCUCCAAGCACAGAGAGAGCUUGGCCACAGCCUUCUCCAAAGUCUCCCUCCAGGAGGGGUCACAGGAGAGCAGAACAAGACCAGCCUUCAUCCUCCAGGAACAAAUCCUGUGGUACUUCCAGACUCCUCAGAUCUCUGUGGUUUGGACGCACACUCAAAUAUCAACAGCACUUUGCAUUACCAUCCAAUCUUCCCCCAAUAAACAGCUCUAUGAAACCUUU